UCGAGGUGACGAGGACGGAUGGCGAGCGUCGGUCGGCGAGUGUCGUUACCUGUUCACGACGAGUUGCGCAAGUCUGCCUCUCGGUUCCAGUCGGCACAGCACGGCGGUGGAUGACGGCGUGUCGCGGUGGCCAGAUCUCGUGGAUCCUCCGCAGAUCUAGUCUUCUGCUUUCCAGAUCUGAGGGCAAGGGAUGGCAGCGGCGCACAGCGUCGGAGGGUGACAACGGCACAGCGGCUGACUGGAGUUUCGGCGUGGACGGUCGACGGCGUCAAGAAGGACUGCAACGACGGUGGGGUGUUGAAAGCAGUGGCGAUCCGGUGCAGUGACGGCGUCGUGGUGGUCGGGAGCUUUCGG
Molecule: long non-coding RNA, 354 nt
Filed under: Eucalyptus grandis
Lineage: Eukaryota; Viridiplantae; Streptophyta; Magnoliopsida; Myrtales; Myrtaceae
Description: long non-coding RNA (EGRA_LNC007929)
Source: RNAcentral